Molecule: ribosomal RNA, 412 nt
Filed under: uncultured Pseudomonas sp.
Lineage: Bacteria; Pseudomonadati; Pseudomonadota; Gammaproteobacteria; Pseudomonadales; Pseudomonadaceae
Description: bacterial SSU rRNA
Rfam family: Bacterial small subunit ribosomal RNA
Source: RNAcentral
UUACCAGGCCUUGACAUGCAGAGAACUUUCCAGAGAUGGAUUGGUGCCUUCGGGAACUCUGACACAGGUGCUGCAUGGCCGUCGUCAGCUCGUGUCGUGAGAUGUUGGGUUAAGUCCCGUAACGAGCGCAACCCUUGUCCUUAGUUACCAGCACGUUAUGGUGGGCACUCUAAGGAGACUGCCGGUGACAAACCGGAGGAAGGUGGGGAUGACGUCAAGUCAUCAUGGCCCUUACGGCCUGGGCUACACACGUGCUACAAUGGUCGGUACAAAGGGUUGCCAAGCCGCGAGGUGGAGCUAAUCCCAUAAAACCGAUCGUAGUCCGGAUCGCAGUCUGCAACUCGACUGCGUGAAGUCGGAAUCGCUAGUAAUCGUGAAUCAGAAUGUCACGGUGAAUACGUUCCCGGGCCUU